This 530-nucleotide ribosomal RNA is filed under the name Haliotis asinina. Its description in RNAcentral is "partial 16S ribosomal RNA". It matches the Rfam family "Bacterial large subunit ribosomal RNA", at positions 1817 to 2600 of the family's 2925-position model. Lineage: Eukaryota; Metazoa; Mollusca; Gastropoda; Lepetellida; Haliotidae. The record is from RNAcentral.
GGCUCCUUGUGUUUUAGGCGGAUAAGGAGUCGGACCUGCCCGGUGACCUACGGGUUAAACGGCCGCGGUACACUGACCGUGCAAAGGUAGCACAAUCACUUGCCUUUUAAUUGGAGGCUGGUAUGAAUGGUUUGACGAGGGCUGAGCUGUCUCUUUUGGAAUAUUUAAAAAUUAACUUCUAGGUGAAAAGGCCUAGAUUGAGCUGAGGGACGAGAAGACCCUGUUGAGCUUUAGUGUUGAAUAAAGGUUUAUAUUUCCUAGUUGAAUUUAGAGGUUUAAGUUUAUUCUUACAUCUUUAGUUGGGGUGACUGGGGAACAAAAGUAGCUUCUCUACUUAUUACUGGGUUUGGCUUGCUAGCUAAUGAUCCGGCAUUGCUGAUUAUUGGAAAAAGUUACCACAGGGAUAACAGCGUAAUCUUUUUGGAGAGUUCAUAUUGAAAAAAGGGUUUGCGACCUCGAUGUUGGAUUAAGGUGUCCUAAGGGUGUAGCAGCUCUUGUUGGUUGGUCUGUUCGACCAUUAAAACCUUACA